UACGUAGGGCGCAAGCGUUAUCCGGAAUCAUUGGGUUUAAAGGGUUCGCAGGCGGCUCGAUAAGUCAGUGGUGAAAUCCCAUAGCUCAACUAUGGAACUGCCAUUGAUACUGUCGAGCUUGAAUAUAGUUGAAGUAGGCGGAAUGUGUAGUGUAGCGGUGAAAUGCUUAGAUAUUACACAGAACACCGAUAGCGAAGGCAGCUUACUAAACUAUUAUUGACGCUCAUGAACGAAAGCGUGGGGAGCGAACAGG
RNAcentral lists this unclassified non-coding RNA (253 nucleotides) under uncultured Flavobacteriales bacterium. RNAcentral describes it as "contains 16S-23S intergenic spacer region". It matches the Rfam family "Bacterial small subunit ribosomal RNA", at positions 524 to 776 of the family's 1533-position model. The record is from RNAcentral. Lineage: Bacteria; Pseudomonadati; Bacteroidota; Flavobacteriia; Flavobacteriales.